Molecule: ribosomal RNA, 356 nt
Filed under: Ensifer meliloti
Lineage: Bacteria; Pseudomonadati; Pseudomonadota; Alphaproteobacteria; Hyphomicrobiales; Rhizobiaceae
Description: Sinorhizobium meliloti bacterial SSU rRNA
Rfam family: Bacterial small subunit ribosomal RNA
Source: RNAcentral
UACGAGAGAUCGUAUCCUUCAGUUCGGCUGGAUCGGAGACAGGUGCUGCAUGGCUGUCGUCAGCUCGUGUCGUGAGAUGUUGGGUUAAGUCCCGCAACGAGCGCAACCCUCGCCCUUAGUUGCCAGCAUUCAGUUGGGCACUCUAAGGGGACUGCCGGUGAUAAGCCGAGAGGAAGGUGGGGAUGACGUCAAGUCCUCAUGGCCCUUACGGGCUGGGCUACACACGUGCUACAAUGGUGGUGACAGUGGGCAGCGAGACCGCGAGGUCGAGCUAAUCUCCAAAAGCCAUCUCAGUUCGGAUUGCACUCUGCAACUCGAGUGCAUGAAGUUGGAAUCGCUAGUAAUCGCAGAUCAGC